CAGAAAUUUGGCCCACAACUACUUGUCAGGCCCUCUACCUGACUUAAGUGGAAUGAAUUCCCUCAAUUAUGUGUGAGUAUAUCAUUUCUAGAGUUUCAAUAUUCCUGCAAAUUGUUUGUUUUUCUGUUGUACUGACAAAUCCUAAUGUUUCUCUCAGAGACCUUAGCAACAACUCAUUUGACCCAUCAGAAGCUCCACUUUGGUUCUCAACCUUACCCUCACUCACCACUUUGUAAGUUCUCAGGAGGUUGUAUAAAAGUCUUUGUAUCUCUUCACAAGUCUAAGAAAAGGAAACUUUGAAAACUUUAUUUGAAAUCCUUUGUUAAACUUCUCUCCUUUUAUGGCACACAGGACCAUGGAAUUUGGAUCACUUCAAGGGGUUGUGCCAGAGAAGCUUUUCAGCCUUCCAAAUUUACAACUAGUGUAAGUUCCAGGGAGAACACUCAAGAAUAUAUGCAUCAAAGUUUUCACUGUAAAUUUAUGAAACUGAUCAUUUCUUUUAAACUCUUGAUAGGAAGCUCAAAUACAAUGCGUUUAAUGAUACGUUGAACAUGGGCGAUAGCAUCAACCCACAACUGCAGCUUGUUGAUCUGCAGAACAAUCAGAUUUCCAGAAUAAGUCUGGGUUAUGAAUACAAAAAUACAUUAAUGUGAGACAGUUGAUGGGCCUUGAUCUUGAUUUCCUAUGAUAAUUGUGUAUUUUCCCCUCACCAUCACUCUUGGUUGUCACUUUUACAUGUUGCAGACUUUUCGGGAACCCGGUUUGCAGCAGCAGUUCUGGUGCAUCAAAUGCUACUUUCUGUCAGCCUCCUCGUCAAACUACAAAAUCGUAAAUGGUCAAGAUGAGAGCUUUUGGCCAACUUGUGGAAAAUGGUGCAAAAGUGGGGAUGCCUGUGUAGCUUCAUCUAAGUUCUUCCAAUCCAAGUCAAGUCAAUAUUGUAAAAAUGGAGAAUCAUUCUCUCUCCUUGAUAUCCCAUUUGUUCUUUCUUUACAUGUGAUCAGAUUUUAAUUGGUGAAGCUUCUUCUAUCAAACAAGCCAAUGUCAUGAAAUCGUGCUUUGAAAAGUUCCGCAUGCAAACGCCUCAGCCCAACUGGCUAACUUUUAAAAAGUCAAGAUUUCUUGUUCCCAUUAGGCCAUAGAGUCUUGUGGCCCCACCGGUGUAUGUUGUUUACUUUGACACAUUCUCUCUGAUAGUCUGCCUUUCGUCUUCAACGCCAUGAAUGAAGCGUGAACCCUCAAGAAACGAAACCAACCCACAUGCAAAUAUGUCCUGAUCAUACAUGCGCAUUGUAAAAUAUGUCAACUCUAAAUCCCCACCAACAGUAGCGACAGCCACAUUAAAUCCAUUAAUCUUUUAUUUUUUAAUAUAUAUUUUUUAAAUAUGUCAUCUUCGGCCUUUCAUGUUGUAUAGAUGUUAUCUGAAAAUGCCUCGAUACAACUUAAGGAGAUACCCAAUUGAAUUGUUUCAUAGGAUUCAUAACAUUCUAUUAGCUUUGGGAUUGCCCUCUCAACGUAAUUAGGUCAAACUCACUAUUGAAGGCACUAGGAAAGGAAGGAUACUGAAUUCAGCAAUUGGAAUUGGAGAAGCUGUAAGAUAUCAUAAUUAUUGUUCAUGGUUGGUUUUGCUACUGUAAUUUUAGGUGUGCCAGAUGUAGGCCAAGCUACGUUUGCUUUGGGAUACAAAGGAUUCUUUUCCAUCCGAAUUGAAGUAGAAUUUGUCCCAAUGUGUCCCCUAAGAAGGGGACAAUCUAACACAAAAUCUCGGAUUUAAAUGCUUUUAAUCAAUUGAGUUGUUGAAUAUUAAGUCUUUGAUUGAUAUAGCUCACAUUUUUUAUGGAUUUGGUAAAACUUCAAUUGAAAUUUUUAUUGGUAUGGCUAGACGGCAAUUUGUGGUUUGUUUUCUUAUUAACCUUUGACCCCUUAGCACAAAAACUAUACUUUAUCUUUUGUAGAAUAAACUUAGUUGUAUUUAGAAACAGUCGUACCAUAGAAGUUGACUGUUCGAAUUAUAUUUUUGUUUUGUGAAAACAAUCAUCAUGUAGAUCUCAUCUUAAAUCAAAUGCUUGAAUACCAAGUAAAACAAAGGAAAAGACCCUACCUACCACCAUAAAAAAUGGCCUCACCUGCCACCACCUAGUGAGGCAAAACAUUGAGUUACAAAGGUCUUGUCUUUAUCCAUUUCUUACGAAAAUGAAAAUCUUUUCAUCCAUUCAACACGAAAGUGGAUCAAACCAUGAAUUGGUCCCGGCCACGCCCCCGAGAGCCUUGAUUUUCAUGUCAGCUUGUGGGACCCAUUUUCACCUAAAGCCAACUGUACGCAUUGAAUGACCUAGUUAAAUUAUAUCAAUGCAAGUUGGAACUUAAUUAAUUAAUUAAAAUUUGAUUAAAAAGUGGAGACUCUAGGCGUAUAUUCAGAAUUGUGUAGCUUUGUCCCCAUUCGAAAGAUGCUAGCUUUGCUCAUGAGAGAGUUGUUUCUGCUUAACUGUUGUUUGUAUUAUGUGACUUGUCCUCUGAAAAUGCGCGGGCGGGCGGAGGAAACGGUAAAACCUCCACAUUUUUUUUUUUUUUUUUGCUGCAAUAAGAUGAUUUUGAUAGAGGAAAGAUGAUGAUGUUUUUUUGGACUUUGUGUGAUGAUUUCGGUUGGUGGGUUUUUUUUGCUAGUGGAAGGUGCUUAUUGUUAAGGCCAAAGGUUGGCUUCUAAGACAAGGCUUAAUCAUUUAAAAGAAGCUCAAAGGGGCCAACCCAAAUCUUUUUCUGUUCUCUCUCUCUCUAUCUCUCUAUCUCUCUCUGCGUGCCUGCAAGUAUUUUUUGAAGACAGUUGAAAAAACCCGACUCACCAAAUCAAGCUUUCAAAGCAAAACUUGUUCUGAAUUGGUGGGAACAUGUACAUGCGCAUGUACAUACAUGCAUGCAUGCUGUCAAGGACUCAUUAAAUAAAAAUCUUCAAGUGGUGUAGUUGGUAGAAUGGAAGGAAUUGAAUUGAAGGGUGUGUCUGUGUGGAGGGAAGUCUUUGAAAAGUGCUUUUUUGACCAUCUGGGGUAAAUAGAAAUGUGCUUUUUUUGACCUCUGCUUACUAGCUGAUCAGCCUCACAGAGGCACCAGUUUACUUGAUUUGCUUGCUCCUUCACCACCAUGGCAACCAUGCGGUUGCUGCUCUUUCUGGCUUUCUGCUCUGCUGGGAUUCAUAUGAUCUUUUCUGAAACAGACCCCGGUGAUGGUAUGGUCUCAAAUCUAAAUGUUUAUUUGUCCAUUAUUGAUUUCCUAGUUAAUGGGAAAUUGGGGUUUUGGUAGUUUGAGCUUUGGCCUGGAUAUGCGUUGACUUAGGAAAGACUUUGCAAUAUCAUGUUGAUCCUCCUGUUUCUCAUGUUUUUGCAUGCAAACUUGGUAAUUAGUCAUUUUAGUUGGUGUUUAAUGCAAGCUUUUCUUAAUGUUUUGGCUAAAUUUUGAUUGUAAGUUGAAUAUCCUGCACAUAGGUGUGUACAAACUUUGUGUUAAGGUAGUAGAUUGAUUUGUAAGUCUGUUGGUCCAGCUGCUGUUUUCAUAUCCUUGAAGGGGGCAUGGACGAAUCUUCCACCCAGCUGGAACGACAAGUCAAAUGAUCCCUGUGGAAUGAACUGGGAAGGAGUCACCUGCAACAAUUCGAGGGUGACCGCAUUGUGAGCAUUGUUCAUCUUUGAAUUUUCAUGGGAUCCUUGUAGUUCUGGGCAUUGGUGACUUACUUUCUUACACAAAUUUUCAACCUUGCACUUUUUUAUGUGCAGGGGAUUAUCAGCAAUGGACUUGAAAGGACAAAUUGAAGGCGAUAUCGGGGGACUCUCUGAAUUAAUAUCCUUGUGAGUAUAAUUGCUCCUCUUUGUACCAGCAUUAUGUUUGCAGCACAUUAUGAAUUGAACCCAGAUGCAAUGCAACAGAUUCAGUAUGUAAACAUAUGCAUAAAACAUAUUUCUUUUGCAGUAUCAAUUAUUUUGUUAUCACUCAAUCUUUGAUUAGCAUGGCAUCCUUUUUGUAACGAAGUAGAAACGUUAACAUUGCAGGGACCUUUCAUUCAACAAAGGCCUCACGGGUUCUCUGUCUCCACGAUUAGGAGAUCUGAGCAAGUUAAAUAUCCUGUAAGAACAAAUUAGCAAGCAAUUUUCAUAUUUGCACCUUUUGAACUUUGUAUAUGCAAUAUAAGUUUUUAUAUUGGAUAAGUAUACAAGACUCUUUUCAUCUUUUAGGAUCCUAGCUGGCUGCGGCUUCAGUGGCAAUAUUCCAGAGGAAUUGGGCAAUCUUGGAGAGCUAACUUUCUUGUAAGAAUUGAAUUGAUAAUCAUACUGUUAGUGCAAACCAUUUUAAGUUUUUUCUUUCCCAACUUUAUAUAAAUCUUUUGUUCUUUUCAGGGCUCUGAAUACAAAUAAAUUUACUGGUCAAAUACCUCCUUCUUUGGGUAACCUCUCCAAUCUUCUCUGGUUGGACCUGGUAGACAAUCAGUUGACUGGAACUCUACCAAUUUCAACCCCCGUUACCUCAGGCUUAGACAAACUAUUGAAGGCUGAACACUUGUGAGUAUUUUUCCAUUUCCCAAACUCUCUUCAUUGUGAAAAGAUGAAAUUCUAAUAGGGAUUAUGCCAUUGCUUAUUGCAUAAACAUUAAACUGAUAAUAUGGACAUGCAGCCAUUUCAGCAAGAACCAGCUUUCAGGUACCAUUCAUCCCAAACUUUUCAGCUCUGAGAUGAAACUGAUACACAUGUAAGUUGAUCCCUUCGAUCAUUUUUUUAAUUUAGCCAGAUGCCAUCUAUCAGUUUAUGUUCUGUACUUAUAUUUAUCUAACUGCUUGUCAUUCUUCAACUGCAGUUUGUUUGAUGGAAAUCAAUUUAUUGGGGAGAUUCCAUCAACCAUAGCACUAGUUCAGACUCUUGAGAUUCUGUGAGUACAAAAACAGCUCGAUUUUGUUAUUCUUUCACAUAUAAGUUUCUGCUUCUUGAUACUUAUUGGAUUCAAAACCUUCUUGUUUGCAACAGUCGGCUUGAUAGAAAUGCUCUGACAGGAAAUGUCCCCUCAAAUAUCACCAACCUAACACAUGUCAAUGAACUGUGAGUAUCAAGUCUCUAAGAGGAUAUUCUAAUGUGCUGUUAACAGUUACCUUAAUUAUUCUUAAUCAUCUUUUACAUGAGUUUUUGUUCUCUUCCAGAAAUUUGGCUCACAACAAAUUGACAGGCCCUUUACCUGACUUAACUGGAAUGAGGUCCCUCCUUACUGUGUGAGUAAGAUGGCAUGGAGCUGUCAUUUCAAGUUUCAAGUUUCCUGCAAGUUGUUCUUUUGUUGUACUGAUAAAUCCUAAUGAUUUUACUCCAGAGACCUGAGUAACAACUCAUUUGACCCAUCAGAAGCUCCACUUUGGUUCUCAAACUUACCCUCAAUCACCACUAUGUAAGUCCUUAGGAGGUUACACAAAAAUGUGUUAGUAUCUAUGAAUGAGUCUUGGAAAAGGACACCCUGAAAACUUUGUUGUAAUUUUUUGUUGAAAUUCUCUACUUUUAUGGAACACAGCGUUUUAGAAUUUGGAGCACUUGAAGGGACUGUGCCAGAGAAAAUGUUCGGCAUCGCAUCAUUGCAGCAAGUGUAAGUUUAAGGAGAAUACUGAAGAAAGCUUCAAGUUUUGACUGUAAUUUUAGGAAACUUGCCAUUCAUGUUUUUUUCUAACCCUUGACAGGAAACUGAAAAACAAUGCGUUUAAUGAUACAUUGAACUUGGGUGAUAGCAUCAGUCCACAACUGCAGCUUGUUGAUCUGCAGAACAAUCAGAUUCCUAAAAUAACUCUGGGUUAUGAAUACAAACAUACAUUAAUGUGAGACAGUUCAUGGGCCUUGAUCUUGAUUUUCUAUGGUUGUGUAUUUUUCAACACCAUUCUUAGUUGUCAUUUUUAAAUAUUGCAGACUUGUAGGGAACCCAGUUUGCACCAAUGGAACUAGCUCAAAUUCAUUCUGUCAGCUUCCGCAACAAGAUACAGAAACGUAUACUACUAGCUCAAAUUGUGCACGCAUUACAUGCCCCGAUAAUCAGAAGCUCAGCCCUCAGAGUUGUCAAUGUGCAUAUCCUUUUGAAGGAACAUUGUAUUUCAGAGCACCCUCUUUCAGGGAAUUGUCAAAUGUGAAUAUGUUUCACGCACUAGAAAUGAGUCUAUGGGAUAAACUUGGCCUCACUCCUGGUUCAGUUUCUCUUGAAAACCCUUUCUUCGACAUUAAUGACUAUCUUCAAAUUCAGCUGGCACUCUUUCCACCUACAGGAAUGUAUUUUAAUAGGUCAGAGAUUAUAAGGAUUGGUUUUGAUUUGAGCAACCAAACUUACAAGCCACCGGAGGAGUUUGGACCCUAUUAUUUUAUUCCAGCUCCUUAUACUUUCCCAGGUAAUUUAAAUCGCAUCGUUACUUCGUAUGCCAUUUCCCUGCAUUAGAAGAUUGAUUAAACUGACAAUAAAAACCCAAAAUUGUUUCAGGUGGGAAUAAAAGUUCUAUGAGCACUGGUGUUAUUAUUGGGAUAUCAGUUAGUUGUGUAGUUCUUGUACUGGGCCUCGUGGUAGUGGGAAUAUAUGCCAUUAGGCAAAAGAAACGUGCAGAAAGAGCCAUUGGAUUAAGCCGACCUUUUGGUAAUUAAUUAUUCUUGUUGUUUAUGAUUGGAUACAUUGAAAUUCUGUCAUUGACAUUAGAAGUUGGUUUGCUUAUAUCACUCCUUUUCUCUAUCUUCUAGCUUCUUGGGCACCAAGCGGAAAAGACAGUGGUGGUGCACCACAGUUAAAGGGAGCAAGAUGUUUUUCUUUUGAUGAGCUUAAGAAAUGCACAAAUAAUUUCUCUGACAGUAAUGAGAUAGGAUCUGGUGGAUACGGGAAGGUAUAUUAAUUCAAGUAUUUCAGUAACAUCUAUGAAAUUCUGCUUCAAGUUAAAGGAUGUUUUUUUUUUUCACCUUUUGGUUGGUUGUCCAUAGGUUUACAGGGGCAUGCUUUCUGAUGGACAAGUGGUGGCAAUCAAAAGAGCUCAGCAAGGAUCAAUGCAGGGUGGCCUUGAGUUCAAGACUGAAAUCGAGUUGCUCUCGCGAGUUCAUCACAAAAAUGUUGUUGGCCUUUUGGGAUUUUGUUUUGAACAAGGAGAACAGAUGCUGGUUUAUGAGUUUAUGCCUAAUGGAACACUCAGGGAAAGCUUGUCAGGUUAGUUCAAAGAUUUUACUCUCAGCUAUUUCAUAUUGCAUAGAGAUAACUUGUUUGCAAUAGACAUAGUUACCAACUUCACCUUUGCUUAAAUAUGAAUUGCAGGGAGAUCUGGUAUUCAUCUUGAUUGGAAGAGGAGACUCCGCAUCACUCUUGGCUCGGCAAGAGGACUAGCUUACCUACAUGAGCUUGCAAAUCCUCCUAUAAUUCACAGAGAUGUCAAGUCCACCAACAUUCUAUUAGACGAACAUUUAACUGCGAAGGUUGCAGAUUUUGGCUUGUCCAAGCUGGUAGCUGACGGUGGAAAAGGGCAUGUCUCAACUCAGGUCAAAGGCACACUGGUAAGCUUUACGUUAUUAGCAUUUCAACAUAUAUUCAUCCCAUUGACACAUUCUUGAGUUUUUACUCUUUAAGUUUCUGUUUUGUUCUUGCAGGGAUAUCUUGAUCCUGAAUACUACAUGACUCAACAGUUAACUGAGAAGAGUGAUGUAUACAGCUUUGGAGUGGUGAUGCUUGAAUUGAUAACGGCUAGGCAGCCUAUUGAGAAGGGAAAAUACAUCGUCCGUGAGGUAAGAUUGAUGAUGGACAAGAAUGAUGAAGAACACUAUGGUUUGAGGGAGUUAAUGGAUCGAAGCAUUCGAAACUCUGGAACCCUUAUUGGGUUUGGGAGGUUCCUGGAGCUGGCCCUGCAAUGCGUUGAAGAAUCAGCUGCAGACCGCCCCACAAUGAGUGAGCUUGUGAAGGCUAUUGAAACCAUUCUGCAGAAUGAUGGCAUGAACACAAACUCAACGUCAGCAUCUUCAUCAGCCACAGAAUUUGCAGCAUCAAAAGGAGCUCCUAAGCAUCCAUACAACGAUGGCUUGCCGAAAAAGGAAGUGAAUGACAGCACUGGUGCCUUUGAUUACAGUGGUGGAUACGCAGUUUCGGCGAAGAUUGAACCCAAGUAGUAGCAAAGGCCUGCAGCAGAGUUAAUUUCUUCUUUUGUAAUUGUACCUUCUCUUCUCUAUCCAUAUAUGUAAGUAGAUACAGGAAAAGAAUAUAUAGUGGUCUGUCAUUUCAAUUGCCAAAUAGAAAUUUAGUGUGUUAUGUUACAAUGUUCCUAUGGGCUUCAAACUCGAAUGCUACAAAGUUUUUCUUAUUUUUAAUUUUAUUUUUUGGAUUGGGUGCAAGGAAGUUCUAGUAAGACCUGAAAGAAGGCAUCAAAAUU
This 8386-nucleotide long non-coding RNA is filed under the name Prunus dulcis (almond). RNAcentral's name for it is "sRNA ncRNA". The record is from RNAcentral. Lineage: Eukaryota; Viridiplantae; Streptophyta; Magnoliopsida; Rosales; Rosaceae.